AUAGUAUUCAUCACAUACACAAAAAGAAGUGUUCACCUCACUUGGCAAGAGGGACUUGCAUGUGUCAAUAAGGACCUUGAGAUGGGAAGACCCUGGAUUAUCCAGGUGGUCACAGUGUAAUCUCAAGGGUCCUUGAAAGUGGAAGAGAAGAAUCAGAGUUGAGAAGGAGAUAAGGUGAUGGAAAUGGAGGUCAGAGUGAUGUCCUAUGAGAAGGACUAAACCCAUGCAUUGUUGACUUUCAAGAUGAAGGAAGGGAACACAGGCCAAGAAAUGUGGGCAGCUUCUAGAAGCUGGAAAAGAGAAGGAAACAGAUUCACCCAUACAGCCUCCAGAAAGGCACAGCCUUGCCAGUCCCUUGGUGUUAGCCCAUGUCAGGCUCCUAACCUACAGAACUAUAAGAAACAACAUUUGUGUUGUUUUAAGCCACUAAAUUUGUGAUAAUUUGUUACAUUAGCAAUGGAAAUACAGAGUUACAUGACUUUUUUAAUAAUAAUUUUCCAUGUAAAUGUAAUAUUUUUACAUCUUAUAGAAACUUAGAAAGUUUCAAACUCCACAUAUCACUUAUUUAUCUCAUUGCUACCCCUCUUUUUCCUCUUCUUUGGGUAUGUUAGAAGGAAUACAACUUUUGUUCUGGAUUUAUACAAAGAAACAAACUGGUGUUUUCUCAUAUUAUUCCCACUCUUAGAGUCUUAGAAGGUUUCAAAUUUGCAAACAGAGAUGCAUUGGAUAUGGUAAUGAGAUUACUGAUCUGAGAGCCAAAAAACUUCGAUGAUCCUCCUGGCCUUGCCUCUGGUUUUAUUUAACUCCUUAGCUAAUGAGGAAACCAGGAAGAUCCAGUUGAAGGUGAGAAUUCGAAGAAUUAACAUAUAUAGGCAAAGGAAAACGGAUAUAAAUUUAUAAAUACCUUAUCAGCAAAACUGAUCAAUAAUCAUCGGGCAACAAUCAACUACAUCUCCACCAGAUGCACUUUAUUUGCAUCUCUAAAGAUAAGUAUCAUUUGUGUUAAUAUCAGUUUUCUGCAACUUACAGAGCUAUAAAACAGCUCAAAGACCAUGAAAGGCACAGGCCCCAACAGAAUCAGAUAAACUGCAGAGUACACUAGAAAGGACACCCAACAUCAUCUCUUUUUCUUUCCAUUUCAAAGUCAUAUAUAAAUUUUUCUAACAGAAAUAUGGGGAUAUUUUCUAAGGUAAUAUAUUUAAAAUAGUCAUCGCAGUUCUUGGCACAUCAUGGUUAAUGCUAAAAAAUCCUCUUCCCUGUCUUUCAGUCUAAUGAUGUCACAGGAAGAGAGAUGUCUUUCAUGCAAAUGAGUUGGAAAAGUGUGUAAAAUAGGCUGUAGGGUUCAGAGGUGAGAAUAUUCACAGCUGGCGGGGAAGGUCUUCCUGGUAAAAGGGAUCUGGUCACCUCAAUCCGGUCACCUCAAUCCUAUCUCUUUUGCUUGCAACACCUAUCCCAGAGAAAAUCAUGCAGUUCCAAUACCCAUACCAACAUUUCUCUGUCAUUUUACAGCAUAUACAUCAUGACCACUUCGGUAUCUCUUUUGAUACUUGAGACUCAGUACUGUAAUUACUCCCAUUUUUUGAAAGACGAUUUUUUAGAGCAGUUUUAGGUUCACAGCAAAAUUGAACAGAAGGUACAGAGAUUUCCCAUAUACUUUCAUCCUCACAUAUGUGUAGCCUCCUCCUUUGUCAACAUCUCUCACCAGAGUGUUACAUUUGUUACAACUGGUCAACCUACAUUACCAAAUCCUAAUCCCCCAAAGUCCAUAGUUUACAUUAGGGUUCACUCUUAGAUGUGGUACAUUCUAUACGUUUGGGCAAAGUUAUAAUGGCAUGUAUCCACCAUUAUACAGAGAGUAGAUUCACUGCCCUAAAAAUCCUCUGUGCUCUGCCUAUUCAUCCCCUCCCCCACCACACACCCUCUCACCCCGGGAAACCACCCAUCACUAUCUUGUUAUAGCUUUGUUUUUUCCAGAAUGUCAUAUCAUUGGAAUCAAAUAGUACGUAGUCUUUGCAGAUUGCCUUUUUUCACUUGGUAAUAUGCAUUUAAGUUUUCUCCAUGUCUUUUUAGGACUUGAUAGCUCUUUUUAUAAGUGCUGAAUAAUAUCCCAUUAUACCACAGUUUAUUUAUCCACUCAUUUAUUAAAGGACAUUUCUGGCAAUUAUGAAUACAUCUGCAAUACACAUCCACGUGCAGGUUUUUGUGUGAACAUAAGUUUUCAACUCAUUUGGGUAAAUAUCAUGUAGUGUGAUUGCUAGAUCGCAUGGUAAGAGUAUGUUUAGUACUGUAAGAAACUGCCAAACUGUCUUCCAAAGUGGCUGUUACAUUUUGCAUUCCCACCAACAAUGAAUGAGAGUUCCUGUUACUCCACAUCCUCACCGGUAUCUAGUGUUGUCAGUGUUGUGGAUUUUGGCCGUUGUAAUAGGUGUGUGGUGAUAUAUCACAUUGCUGUCUUUAUUUGCUUCUCCCUGAUAACAUUUGCUGUGGAGCAUCUUUUCAAAUGCUAAUUUGCAGUCUGUAUAUCUUAUUUGGUGAGGUGUUUGUUCAGGUGUUUGGCCCCUACUUUAAUUGUGUCGUUUGUUUUCUUCUUGAGUUUUAAUAUUUCUUUAUAUACUUUGGAUAGCCGUUCUUUGUCAAUUACGUCCAUUGCAAAUAUUCUUCCAGUCUUUGAUUUGUCCUUUCAUUCUCUUGACAGUGUCUUUUGCAAAAUUUUGCAGAAAUUUUUAAUUAUAAUAAAGUCCAGCUUUUCAAUUGUUCCUUUCGUGAUUCAUACAUUUGGUGUUGUUUCUAAAAAGUCAUCACCAAAUGCCAGGUCAUUUGGAUUUCUCCUAUUUUAUCCGCUAGGAGCUUUAGUUUUGCAUUUUACAUUCACAAAAUAGUCUAUGAUCCAUUUUGAGUUAAUAUUUGUGAAGGGUAAGGUCUGUGUCUAGAUUCAAUUAUUUUAUGGCUAUCUAGUUGUUCCAGCACAAUUUGUUGAAAAGAUGAUCUUUUCACCAUGGUAUUGACUUUGUUCCUUUGUCAAAGAUCAUUGGACUACAUUUAAGUGGGUCUAUUUGGGGGCUCUCUAUUCUGUCCCAUUGAUCUAUUUGCUUACUAUUUUGCCAGUACCACACUGUCUUGAUUACUAUAGCUUUCCAGUAAGUCUUGAUGAAAGGUAGUGUCAGUCCUCCAACUUUGUUCUUUCCUUCUUUAUUGCAUUGACUGUUCUGGGUCUUUUGCUUCUCCAUAUAAACUUUAGAAUCAAUUUGUCAGUAUCCACAAAAUAAAUUGCUGGGAUUUGGGCUGGGACUGCAUUGAAUCUAUAGAUCAAGUUAAGAACUGACACCUUAAUAUUAUUGAUCUUCCUACUGAUGAACAUGGAAUAUCUCUUAUUUAUUUGAUUUUUAUUUCUUCAGAGUUUUGUAGUUUUCCUCAUAUAGAUUUUAUACAUAUUUUGUUUGAUUUAUAGCUAAGUAUUUCACUUUCUGGGGCAUGGGGGAAGGUGCUAAUAUAAAUUUUAUUGUUUUAUAAUUUCAAAUUCCACUUGUUUAUUGCUGGUGUAUAGGAAAGUGAUUGACUUUUGAAUAUUGAUUUUUAUAUCCUGCAACCUUGCUAUAAUCACUUAUUAAUUCCAGGAGUUUGUUUUUGUUGAUUCUUUUGGAUUUUCUGCAUAGGUGAUCAUAUCAUUUGCAAACAAAGACAGUUUUAUUUCUUCCUUCCUAAUCAGCAUACUAUUUAUUUCCUUGUCUUGUGUUAUUUCAUUAGCUAGACCUUCCCACAGGUCUAGCUUUGUUGAAAAGCAGUGCUGAAAAAUGAUAUCUUUGUUCCUGAUCUCAGCAGAAAAAUUUGUUUCUCAUGAGCAUUAUGUGAGCUUUAGGGUUUCUGUGAAUAUUCUUUAUCAAGUUUAUGAAGCUCCUCUUGAUUCCUAGCUUACUGAGAGUUUUUAUUGAAUGGGUUUUGGAUUUUGUCAAAUGCUUUCAUCUAUUGAUAUGAUUUUGUGAUUUUUCUCUUUUAGCCUGUCAAUGUGAUAGAUUACAUUAAUUGAUUUUCAUGGGUUGAACCAGCCUUGCAUAUCUGGAAUAAAUCCCACUUAGUUGUGAGGUGUUCGCUGUGACCAUUAGGAUGAAGAGGAAAGAGAUCAUCCCCUUUCUACUCCUACAUCCCCAAGUGAAGAGGACAUGGAGUACAGCCACAGCCACACUUAAAGGGCGUGUAACAUGAACAAAAAUAAAUGUUUGUUGUAAGCAAUUACAAUUCAUGAUUCAUUUAUUUCUAUAUAAU
Molecule: long non-coding RNA, 4260 nt
Organism: Pan troglodytes (chimpanzee)
Lineage: Eukaryota; Metazoa; Chordata; Mammalia; Primates; Hominidae
Exons: 3
Source: RefSeq, a predicted model, not a curated record